Pelobates cultripes (western spadefoot toad) is the source of this 479-nucleotide non-coding RNA. Lineage: Eukaryota; Metazoa; Chordata; Amphibia; Anura; Pelobatidae. The record is from the annotation of a GenBank genome assembly.
ACACAAUAUAUCCUCACUGCACACAGAGAGGUAUACACACUGCAUCCUCACUGCACUCAGAGAGAUAUACACACUGCAUCCUCACUGCACUCAGAGAGAUAUACACACUGCAUCCUCACUGCACUCAGAGAGAUAUACACACUGCAUCCUCACUGCACUCAGAGAGAUAUACACACUGCAUCCUCACUGCACUCAGAGAGAUAUACACACUGCAUUCUAACGGCACACAGAGAGAUAUACACACUGCAUCCUAACAGCACACAGAGAGAUAUACACACUGCAUCCUAACGGCACUCAGAGAGAUAUACACACUGCAUUCUAACGGCACACAGAGAGAUAUACACACUGCAUUCUAACGGCACACAGAGAGAUAUACACACUGCAUUCUAACGGCACACAGAGUGACACACACUGCAUUUUAACGGCACACAGAGAGAUAUACAUACUGCAUUCUAACGGCACACAGAGAGACACACACU